This 490-nucleotide ribosomal RNA is filed under the name uncultured bacterium. RNAcentral's name for it is "partial 16S ribosomal RNA". It matches the Rfam family "Bacterial small subunit ribosomal RNA", at positions 29 to 507 of the family's 1533-position model. The record is from RNAcentral.
AGUGAACGCUGGCGGUAGGCCUAACACAUGCAAGUCGAACGGCAGCACAGGAGAGCUUGCUCUCUAGGUGGCGAGUGGCGGACGGGUGAGGAAUACAUCGGAAUCUGCCCAGUCGUGGGGGAUAACGUAGGGAAACUUACGCUAAUACCGCAUACGACCUUCGGGCGAAAGAGGGGGAUCGCAAGACCUCUCGCGAUUGGAUGAGCCGAUGUCGGAUUAGCUAGUUAGCGGGGUAAUGGCCCACCAAGGCGACGAUCCGUAGCUGGUCUGAGAGGAUGAUCAGCCACACUGGAACUGAGACACGGUCCAGACUCCUACGGGAGGCAGCAGUGGGGAAUAUUGGACAAUGGGCGCAAGCCUGAUCCAGCCAUACCGCGUGGGUGAAGAAGGCCUUCGGGUUGUAAAGCCCUUUUGUUGGGAAAGAAAUCUUUCAGGCUAAUACCCUGGGAGGAUGACGGUACCCAAAGAAUAAGCACCGGCUAACUUCGUG